This 274-nucleotide ribosomal RNA is filed under the name uncultured bacterium. Its description in RNAcentral is "partial 16S ribosomal RNA". It matches the Rfam family "Bacterial small subunit ribosomal RNA", at positions 523 to 796 of the family's 1533-position model. The record is from RNAcentral.
AUACGGAGGGUGCAAGCGUUAAUCGGAAUUACUGGGCGUAAAGAGUACGUAGGCGGUUUGUUAAGUUAGAUGUGAAAGCCCCGGGCUUAACCUGGGAACUGCAUUUAAAACUGGCGAACUAGAGUUGAGUAGAGGGGAGUGGAAUUUCAGGUGUAGCGGUGAAAUGCGUAGAGAUCUGAAGGAACACCAGUGGCGAAGGCGACUCCCUGGACUCGAACUGACGCUGAGGUACGAAAGCGUGGGUAGCAAACGGGAUUAGAAACCCUAGUAGUCC